UACGUAGGGUGCGAGCGUUGUCCGGAAUUAUUGGGCGUAAAGGGCUCGUAGGCGGUUUGUCGCGUCGGGAGUGAAAUCCACUGGCUUAACUGGUGGCUUGCAUUCGAUACGGGCAGGCUCGAGUUCGGUAGGGGAGACUGGAAUUCCUGGUGUAGCGGUGAAAUGCGCAGAUAUCAGGAGGAACACCGGUGGCGAAGGCGGGUCUCUGGGCCGAUACUGACGCUGAGGAGCGAAAGCGUGGGGGAGCGAACAGG
RNAcentral lists this ribosomal RNA (254 nucleotides) under uncultured bacterium. RNAcentral describes it as "partial 16S ribosomal RNA". It matches the Rfam family "Bacterial small subunit ribosomal RNA", at positions 524 to 776 of the family's 1533-position model. The record is from RNAcentral.